GGACUACAAGGGUUUCUAAUCCUGUUUGCUCCCCACGCUUUCGUGCAUGAGCGUCAGUAUUGACCCAGGGGGCUGCCUUCGCCAUCGGUAUUCCUCCACAUCUCUACGCAUUUCACUGCUACACGUGGAAUUCUACCCCCCUCUGCCAUACUCGAGCGAUGCAGUCACCAAUGCAGUUCCCAGGUUAAGCCCGGGGAUUUCACAUCGGUCUUAGCGGACCGCCUGCGCACGCUUUACGCCCAGUAAUUCCGAUUAACGCUCGCACCCUACGUAUUACCGCGGCUGCUGGCAC
Molecule: ribosomal RNA, 292 nt
Filed under: uncultured bacterium
Lineage: Bacteria
Description: partial 16S ribosomal RNA
Source: RNAcentral